Molecule: ribosomal RNA, 165 nt
Filed under: uncultured Thermoanaerobacteraceae bacterium
Lineage: Bacteria; Bacillati; Bacillota; Clostridia; Thermoanaerobacterales; Thermoanaerobacteraceae
Description: partial 16S ribosomal RNA
Rfam family: Bacterial small subunit ribosomal RNA
Source: RNAcentral
UGGGGAAUUUUGGACAAUGGGCGAAAGUGUGAUAACAGCGACGCCGCGUGAAGGACGAAGGUUUUUGGAUCGUAAACUUCUUUUGCAGGGGACGAAAGCGCGCAAGCGUUUGACGGUACUCUGCGAAUAAGCCACGGCUACUACGUGCCAGCACCGGGGGAAAAA